This is a long non-coding RNA of Zingiber officinale, 312 nucleotides long. RefSeq lists it as uncharacterized. The transcript has 3 exons. The record is from RefSeq and is a predicted model, not a curated record. Lineage: Eukaryota; Viridiplantae; Streptophyta; Magnoliopsida; Zingiberales; Zingiberaceae.
GGCUUCUCAAUCGUAAUCGUACCUUCUCAGUUCUCACCCUCAUCUGCUCUCAGGCUUCAUUCAGUGCGCUCCCGCAGACAGUAAUCUCGUUGAGAGCUCUGCUGAUCCCUAACGGCUACUGAAUCCUGAAGAACGGGGAAGUCGGUUCACAAUACCUGCGAGGAUGUAGCUUUGUUCCUCGAUAUCCUCAAGAAACACAGGGAUGGCAUUAUGAUGGCCUGGAAUGCACAACAGGCAAAACUUAAUCAGAUGGGAGCAAAGGAAGUUCAACUAGGAUAGCAGGAAAUGGUCCGGACUCCAAAAAUUCUCUGA